Molecule: ribosomal RNA, 465 nt
Filed under: uncultured bacterium
Lineage: Bacteria
Description: partial 16S ribosomal RNA
Rfam family: Bacterial small subunit ribosomal RNA
Source: RNAcentral
CCUACGGGUGGCAGCAGUAGGGAAUUUUCGGCAAUGGGCGCAAGCCUGAACGAGCGAUGCCGCGUGAGUGAAGAAGGCCUUCGGGUCGUAAAGCUCUGUUGCGGGGGAAGAAAGGCCGCAUUAGGAAAUGGGUGCUAACUGAUGGUGCCCCGCCAGAAAGUAGCGGCUAACUACGUGCCAGCAGCCGCGGUAAUACGGAGGUGGCGAGCGUUAUCCGGAAUGAUUGGGCGUAAAGGGUGCGCAGGCGGUACUGCAAGUCUGGAGUGAAACGCCUGAGCUCAACGUAUGCAUGGCCUUGGAAACUGGAGGACUGGAGAGCAGGAGAGGGCGGUGGAACUCCAUGUGUAGCGGUAAAAUGCGUAGAUAUAUGGAAGAACACCAGUGGCGAAGGCGGCCGUCUGGCCUGUUGCUGACGCUGAGGCACGAAAGCGUGGGGAGCAAAUAGGAUUAGAUACCCUGGUAGUC